CGCGGCCUAUCAGCUUGUUGGUGGGGUAAUGGCCUACCAAGGCUUCGACGGGUAGCCGGCCUGAGAGGGUGACCGGCCACACUGGGACUGAGACACGGCCCAGACUCCUACGGGAGGCAGCAGUGGGGAAUAUUGGACAAUGGGCGAAAGCCUGAUCCAGCAACGCCGCGUGAGGGAUGACGGCCUUCGGGUUGUAAACCUCUUUCAGCGCCGACGAAGCGAAAGUGACGGUAGGCGCAGAAGAAGCACCGGCCAACUACGUGCCAGCAGCCGCGGUAAUACGUAGGGUGCGAGCGUUGUCCGGAAUUAUUGGGCGUAAAGGGCUCGUAGGCGGUUUGUCGCGUCGGGAGUGAAAACUCAGGGCUUAACUCUGAGCUGGCUUCCGAUACGGGCAGACUGGAGGUAUGCAGGGGAGAACGGAAUUCCUGGUGUAGCGGUGAAAUGCGCAGAUAUCAGGAGGAACACCGGUGGCGAAGGCGGUUCUCUGGACCUUUCCUGACGCUGAGGAGCGAAAGCGUGGGGAGCAAACAGGCUUAGAUACCCUGGUAGUCCACGCCGUAAACGGUGGGCACUAGGUGUGGGGGACAUUCCACGUUCUCCGUGCCGUAGCUAACGCAUUAAGUGCCCCGCCUGGGGAGUACGG
This 643-nucleotide ribosomal RNA is filed under the name uncultured Actinomycetes bacterium. RNAcentral's name for it is "bacterial SSU rRNA". It matches the Rfam family "Bacterial small subunit ribosomal RNA", at positions 232 to 885 of the family's 1533-position model. The record is from RNAcentral. Lineage: Bacteria; Bacillati; Actinomycetota; Actinomycetes.